This is a long non-coding RNA of Oreochromis aureus, 3348 nucleotides long. Lineage: Eukaryota; Metazoa; Chordata; Actinopteri; Cichliformes; Cichlidae. The record is from Ensembl.
UAGUUUUAGAUUGGUUCCCCAUUUAAUUACAAAUUCUUACAAUCAAAUUGCGGGAUAAUUUUCAACAGCAAAUUCAAAUCCACGGACUAUAAUACAGCAUAACCACACACACAGACGUAUACAUAAAUGUACAUUAUAAGAUCUAUACAAGUGAUAUACAGUGUAGUUCAUAGUAUUUAGCAGGCAAUGAGUGCAGUAAAAUGUCUGGAAGCUGGCUUCAUGUUUGAAGAAUGUAUAGAAUAAGAAAUACAUUUUGUUCAUAAAGUUUCUCAACUGUUACAGUACAGGUUAUGAGAAAUGUGCAAAAUCUUUAAGUACACAACAUAAACAACUAAUUGUUUAAACAUUUUUAGUCUUAAAAAAAGAAAAGAAUCAAUCAUAAAAAUAAUUUGGUCACAAAAAUUACCAUCCAGCAUAUUUAAAUUUACAACCAAAGUGUAAUGAAGUGAAAAUCCUCAAGGUUGAAACCUUUCUCACUGCCACUGGGAAGAUCAUCGGUCAGUUAUUGCAGAGACAGCACAGAUUGCACAAGGUCAAUAAAAUAUCUGAGUGGGAACAGUCUGCUGAGUUCAUACAGGUAUCUGGAUCUGGCUUAGACCAACUAGCACAAACCACAGAAAAAAAAAAGACCCCAGAGAUGGACACGAAACUUUCUUUUCGUCAAACACACGUAAUACAGGACAAAAAAACUGAUGUAACUUCUGGUCUCUGGCAGUACUGAGGUGCGUGUUUGAAGUGAGCAAGCAGUUGUGCAACUGACUCAAGUAUUUGCUCCCUCCUGACAGAGUGGUCUAGCCAUACACUUCAAACAUGACAUUAAACUCAUGCAGAGAUGCAAAAACAUAUGCAUAAUGUUUAUUUGCUUUUCUUUGUAGUACUAGCACAACAAUUUUUUCCUUUAUAGAAUUAUAAACCAAUCAAAAAGGAUUUAAAAUUCCCAUUCAACUUACUAAGCUUAGUUUUAUAAUGAUGGACUGAUGGUGAUUGGCUGAUACUGUUAUUUGAAGUAUCAAUUUGACUGGCAGCUAAUGUUCAUAUCCCUUCAUUUUCUCUGUUGUACUGGGAAAGAAAAAAAUCUUUAUCAUUAAAAAAAACUAUUUAAAAAUGUACUUUCACCUUCUAAUCACACAUCUUUGAACAGUAAGUGAGUGCAAAAUGAAUGCACCGAAUGCAGAUUAAACAUUAGCCACUGCCAUCAGCUAUGGAGCCAAUGUGCAUCCCUAGUAGAAGCAAAGAUUUCCUAAAUAACACUGCAAUUUUACCAGAAAGAAGAAGAAGGAGAAGAAGAAAUAAACAUUCACUCAGAUUUGGCACAAAAGUGGAGCAGCCAGCAGCUUUAAGGACACAAAACGGUUAACUACGUCUCUUCUCUCACCCUCCAAGUUCUAAUGGUGAGGGUCAAUAGCCUCUGUGACAAUGCCAACGUCUAACACACAUUUCAGUUACAACAUCUUAACUAUUUGCGUCAUUUAAAAUUUUAAAGUUAAUGUCGGACCUCACUUGGGCAUUUAAUCAACUACUGAGUGUGGCAUUGCACAAAAACAGAUUAAACAUCAAAAUAAUUCUGGGAAAUACAGUAAUAUGUGCACUGAAAAACAACUUUGCGUACAGGUUCAGUCAUUGGGUCGGUGUGGAUAAUUAUUAACCCAGUGAUAUGCAGACAUACAUGAUUGUUUCUUGUGUUUUGACUAAACAUUGAAAUUCACGCCGGGUUCAGUAGGUCAAAGAGCCAGGUCAUCAAAUAUAUAACCUACGAAAACUAUAUCACUCAUUAUUGUAGUUGAAAAAGAGACAUUAUUCAGUCCUUUUGGCGAUGUGCAUUUCCACAAAUGCACAUUCCACAUUUAUCCAUGCAUCUUAGUACAUGUACAAUGCAGAAACAAAACCAUAUAUCUUAUGUCCAUUCAUCCAUGAACCCCUUGCAGCACACACCAUAUCAUAACAAAAAAAUGAAAUAGUAAACCUAAACAUGGCAUCACCUAAAUGUGAUACCAACAAAAUAACUGCUUGCUGCUUUGGCACAAGUGGCAAAUAAAUUGUGUAAUUAAAAAAAAAAAAUCAGCUUAUUAGUUUUCUAUUUACUUAUCUAGAUUAUUGCCCUUUUUUAAACAUUGGUGGAGCAUUAAAAAAAAAAAAAGCAAAAAAGUAAAACUCUAGUAUUGUUAGGAAUGAUUUCACAGUGUAGGAAUUAGGACGGAUUUUCAAUAAGAACAUUUUAGGCGAUAUUUUCUUGGGCUGAAAUUUUUAAUUUUCAGACAGAGCAAUGAGGUAUGGACUUGAGGAAAUUAUUACAUUCCAGGUGUUUACCCAUGCAUUCCAUGUCCAAGGUAUAGGUAUAAUACCACUUGUUGCAUAUUUCAGUCUCAGAUAUAAAGUGUUAAUAUUAUAAGUGUCACAGCUAGCCAUGGGCGUAACUUUGUGCUGAACAUUGGGGGGGGGGGGCAAGAUCUCUGGGUAAUAUAAAUAAAUAAAUAAAUCUGUGUAAAUUCCCAGAUGAUUAAACAUGCACCUAUUUUGCUGGUAAUAACUGAAAUGAGUAAAGAAAAUAAACAGCCUAUUUAUGCAAGAUAAUUCAUAAUUUUAUUGGGUGGGUUAUAUUGCUUGGGUCUGAUUAUUGGGGGGGGGGGGUCAUAACCCCCCUGGAAAUUACACCCCUGCAGCUAGCUUCUGAUUUGCUUCCAAACUUAUCACAAAAGUCAGGAAAUUUGUGUUUGCUUAAUUAUUUCUUUGUUGUAACACUAUAAAUUUCAUACCGUUGGAAAGCCUGUUUAUUUCCCCUUAAAUGCUGCCAUAUUUGUAAGAAAAAUGCUCUUGUGGUUUGAGCAGAAGUGUUGAGUACGUGGUUUGCCCCUAUGAAAACCUUGCCAAAUCUCCUCUGGCAAUGUGAAACAACUUAGUCUGGUCUUUACUCUUGUUUGUGUCGUUUAUUGGGUUGAAUUACUGAGGUUUGAACAAACAAGACAUGUUGGCAAUUUAGCAGUUUGUACAUUAACAAUCGGGCUUCAGUAGCAUGCGGACGAACCAUAUGCAGCCACAAUAACCUGGCAUCUCCUGCUCAUGCUGGUUACCAGGUUGGUCACAUACUGCUAUGGGAUCGCAUCCCAUUCUUCAAUCGGUAUUUGUCACAAGUCAGCCUAUCUGGUUGUGCUGGUAACUCUCGCACAAACAGCACGCAAAAGUUGAUCCCAUAUGUGUUCAUUGGAAAUCAACGAACACCAUCCUUUCAUCUUCCAAACUCUGGAAGGACCCCGCUCAAUGUUCAAAAGUAGUGAGUCCGUACUUUAACAGGCGAUCGAACUGCUGUAGACAAAAUCUGGACGCAUUACUCAAUGUUCCUCCACACUUUCA